UACGAAGGGGACUAGCGUUGUUCGGAUUUACUGGGCGUAAAGCGCGUGUAGGCGGAUUUGUAAGUUGGGGGUGAAAUCCCGAGGCUCAACCUCGGAACUGCCUCCAAAACUACAAGUCUGGAGCAAGAUAGAGGCAAGUGGAAUUGCGAGUGUAGAGGUGAAAUUCGUAGAUAUUCGCAGGAACACCAGUGGCGAAGGCGACUUGCUGGAUCUUUGCUGACGCUGAGACGCGAAAGCGUGGGGAGCAAACAGG
Molecule: ribosomal RNA, 253 nt
Filed under: uncultured bacterium
Lineage: Bacteria
Description: partial 16S ribosomal RNA
Rfam family: Bacterial small subunit ribosomal RNA
Source: RNAcentral